RNAcentral lists this small RNA (149 nucleotides) under Serratia sp. JKS296. RNAcentral's name for it is "sroH RNA". The stretch from base 26 to 149 matches the Rfam family "sroH RNA", at positions 31 to 161 of the family's 161-position model. From Rfam's summary of the family: This family consists of a number of bacterial sroH RNA genes of around 160 bases in length. Lineage: Bacteria; Pseudomonadati; Pseudomonadota; Gammaproteobacteria; Enterobacterales; Yersiniaceae. The record is from RNAcentral.
CUAAUGGAGCUGAGCUUACUCAGCUGGAUGAAGCAGACAGAUUUACCCUGUCAUCCCGCUACCAGCUUCCGUUGGUCAGGCCAAGUCCGGUAAAGGCGAUUCUGAAUACCAGAGAACUCUCUGGCGAAACCCACCUCAAGGUGGGUUUU